RNAcentral lists this ribosomal RNA (630 nucleotides) under uncultured bacterium. Its description in RNAcentral is "bacterial SSU rRNA". It matches the Rfam family "Bacterial small subunit ribosomal RNA", at positions 61 to 686 of the family's 1533-position model. The record is from RNAcentral.
GUCGAGCGGUAGAGAGAAGCUUGCUUCUCUUGAGAGCGGCGGACGGGUGAGUAAUGCCUAGGAAUCUGCCUGGUAGUGGGGGAUAACGUCCGGAAACGGACGCUAAUACCGCAUACGUCCUACGGGAGAAAGCAGGGGACCUUCGGGCCUUGCGCUAUCAGAUGAGCCUAGGUCGGAUUAGCUAGUUGGUGGGGUAAUGGCUCACCAAGGCGACGAUCCGUAACUGGUCUGAGAGGAUGAUCAGUCACACUGGAACUGAGACACGGUCCAGACUCCUACGGGAGGCAGCAGUGGGGAAUAUUGGACAAUGGGCGAAAGCCUGAUCCAGCCAUGCCGCGUGUGUGAAGAAGGUCUUCGGAUUGUAAAGCACUUUAAGUUGGGAGGAAGGGCAGUAAAUUAAUACUUUGCUGUUUUGACGUUACCGACAGAAUAAGCACCGGCUAACUCUGUGCCAGCAGCCGCGGUAAUACAGAGGGUGCAAGCGUUAAUCGGAAUUACUGGGCGUAAAGCGCGCGUAGGUGGUUCGUUAAGUUGGAUGUGAAAUCCCCGGGCUCAACCUGGGAACUGCAUUCAAAACUGACGAGCUAGAGUAUGGUAGAGGGUGGUGGAAUUUCCUGUGUAGCGGUGAAA